Molecule: small nucleolar RNA, 124 nt
Organism: Mus caroli (Ryukyu mouse)
Lineage: Eukaryota; Metazoa; Chordata; Mammalia; Rodentia; Muridae
Product: small nucleolar RNA SNORA40
Source: RefSeq, a predicted model, not a curated record
UGUGUAUGUGUGUGUGUGUGUUGAACUAGUGGACAGAGACAGAAAGACAAACACAAAGUAAAGCUGCUUCUGUAACAGAAGUCACUGUUCAGCAUGAGUCUUGAUACAAAUAAGAAAGAAUAUG